RNAcentral lists this long non-coding RNA (619 nucleotides) under Bos taurus (domestic cattle). RNAcentral describes it as "long non-coding RNA NONBTAT016662". Lineage: Eukaryota; Metazoa; Chordata; Mammalia; Artiodactyla; Bovidae. The record is from RNAcentral.
AUUCAGAAACUGUCAAAGUUAGGUGAUGUUUAAGUUGUUAGAGUUGCCUGGUUAUUCAUGACACCCAGUGACGCUGAGUCUUAGUAAUAAAAACUUCAGAGAAUCCGAAAGAACUCAUCAUUUGCUUUGUUAUUUUGAGUUUACCACUGCAAGGGAUAAUCUGUAAUUGGAUCACAUGAUUAUAAAUGACUUAUUUUUUAGGGGCAUAAUAAGCAAUGCAAAGGACAGGUCUGGUUAUUAGUACCAAAAUAUGUAUUUAUUCCACAUACUGCUUUUUUCAGACCUUUUCUGAUAUCUUGUUUCUGACUAUUAAAUUAUACCCAAAUAGAAUAUGCAACUGCAUGUAUCCAGCUUAUUUCAGUGGGCACUCAGGGCAGCAUAAAUAGAAACAGAAUAAUCAGAAGCAUUUAGAAUUCUGUUCUUAUUCAUCUAACAGGCUUGUCUUUAUUCUAGAAUGCACGUGGUGAUUUUAAUCCUCUUUCCACACUUAAGACUUUCCCUGGGCCUCAGUUUCUGGAAUUCUCUUUCUCCAUGAAAAGAUUUCCAAGACAGAUACCCACCUAUGACUGCUUGUUUCUUGUCCACACACACAAAUCAAAGUUGCUCAAAACGCGGGAAA